RNAcentral lists this ribosomal RNA (301 nucleotides) under uncultured bacterium. RNAcentral describes it as "partial 16S ribosomal RNA". It matches the Rfam family "Bacterial small subunit ribosomal RNA", at positions 509 to 809 of the family's 1533-position model. The record is from RNAcentral.
CAGUAGCCGCGGUAAUACGUAGGGUGCGAGCGUUAAUCGGAAUUACUGGGCGUAAAGCGUGCGCAGGCGGUUCGUUAAGACAGAUGUGAAAUCCCCGGGCUUAACCUGGGAACUGCAUUUGUGACUGGCGAGCUAGAGUAUGGCAGAGGGGGGUAGAAUUCCACGUGUAGCAGUGAAAUGCGUAGAGAUGUGGAGGAAUACCGAUGGCGAAGGCAGCCCCCUGGGCCAAUACUGACGCUCAUGCACGAAAGCGUGGGGAGCAAACAGGAUUAGAUACCCGAGUAGUCCCUGUCUCUUAUAA